Long non-coding RNA from Mastomys coucha (southern multimammate mouse), 3937 nucleotides. RefSeq lists it as uncharacterized. The transcript is spliced from 3 exons. The record is from RefSeq and is a predicted model, not a curated record. NCBI's taxonomy places the organism in Eukaryota, Metazoa, Chordata, Mammalia, Rodentia, Muridae.
CCUCCUCCUCCUCCUUCUCUCUGGAAGAAAUAUUUUCUAUCUUUUGUCUGUCUGCUUUUUUUUUCCUCGCUCUUAAUAUUUUCUUUCUUUAUUGCAGCUAUUUUUGAAGUUUUGAUGUCAGAUGUUGUCACAUGUCAGAUGUUGUCACUGUGUUUAAUAUUUAUCCAGUCUUGUGUGUUGAUUAUUUUUUCAUUCAUGGUUACAUAUUCUCAUCUGUUUCCUUUGGUAUCAAAAAUGGUGACACUUUUUAUUGGGCAUUUGUUGAAUUUACAGCUCAAAUUCUUCAUUGUAAUAUUUCAACAUAAUAGCCAAGAUGGCAGCAUAGGACACAAUUGCUUUCUACUUGAGGUUAGCUCAUUUUCUGCUAAGGUGAGGCUAUCCUCCAUCAGGCACAAGUCCCAGUUGAAUCCACACUUCUCAGAGGUUAAAUGUACAGUGAAUUUAUAAGAUGUCAAAGUCAAGAGAUUGCCUUGAGUGUUCAAAGAAACUUUGGACAUUUCAACAGUGUUAGGACUGCAUUUUGUAUUAUGGGUUGUGUGUGAGUCUCUUAUGAACUGUUUGAAAAUAUGGUGGGUUGAAAGUCCUAGAUGGAUUACACUUCACAAAAGCUAAAUGUACAGUGCUACAGCCUUUUCUUUAGAAAUAUCCUUUUGUGGCUGGGCAGUGGUGGCGCACACCUUUAAUCCCAGCACUUGGGAGGCAGAGGUAGCCGAAUUUGUGAGCUAGAGGCCAGCCUGGUUUACAUAGUGAGUUCCAGCACAGCCAGGGCUACACAGAGGAAACUCUGUCUCAAAAAAAAAAAAAAAUCAAAACAAAAAAGUAAUAUCCUUUUGUGAAGUUAGCAUAAACAUAGAAGGAGAUGGUACCUCUAGGCAAGUAGAGCCCCCCAAACCUGCCUUAGCUAUAGAACAGAAGAUAGAUGUCCAUGGCCUCAAGCAGAGAUAGUUGAUUCCAUCCCUGUCUCGCCACAUAGAUUGUAUUAUGGAAGGCAAGCUUUGUCAUCUACCUGUUUCACUUUCUCCUCAGUCCUCAGACCCAAAAUGUUGCUGAGCCCCAUUUUAUCCCAGUUGAGAUGGUCUGAGCUGUGAUCAGACAGAUCUCCUUGUUGGCUGGAAUUUAAGACUUUCAGAUUUCAACUAUUAAAUAGCUGAAUCAAAUGUAAAGCCUUAAUACCUUGUGUUGCAUGUCUGCACGGUUAGAGAUGCAGCUUCCAGAUAGCAUCAUCUACAACAGUCUCACUUUAAGCACAGCAGGAGAGAGCCUUCAUUGCUUCCACCUCACCUCAUCUAAGGUUUUCUAGGUUCCAGAAGGGAACUGUGUAGGGAGGGAAACAAGGGAUAAUACCAUGUAUUCGGAGAAAAGGUAAGGACUUAAGUUUCAGUUGGAGGCCUCCAGUUGUUUAAUCUCUUCCUGGCGAGGCUAGGGAAGGUUAUAUUAAGGAAGCCUUUAACCCACUGAGAGGAGUUGGCUCCUCAGUCUUUGGAUGAAAUAUUUUCUUUUGUCUUUCUCUUUCCUUCUCUUUUUUCUCUCUUUCCCUCUUUCUCUAUUUCCUUUAUUUUCUUUCACUUUUUUUUUCCUUCAGAGCUGUUUUCUAUUUAGGUUAUAUUCCUGUCAUGGUUUAUAUUAGCUCAACAUCCUCCUGCUCCUGGAUUCUUGGUCUUCAAUUAGUAGAAUUGUGUAAACUUAAACAGUAUGAUCUAUGGGAGAAGGUUUGUCUCAUUUGUUCUAGGUGACUUUGAUGUUUCAAAAUACCAGAGCAAGGCAGGUGUUUCUCUUUGCUUGCCUGCCUAUGUAUCAGGAUGUAACACUCAGCACAAUGCCUACCAUAAUCCUUCCUUUCAAGAUGACAAUGGACUAUCACUAUAAUCACUCCCAAAAGUAUUCUAUUAUUAGAGUUACCUUGGCCAUAUUGCAUUUUCACAGCCAUAGAACAGUUACUAAGACAGGUUGUUUGUGUAAUAAUUUGACAUAUUUUCCCCUUAUUCUGUCCUGUGAAAUCAGGGCUAAAUGAACAGGUAAUGGACUGAUCUCUAGACAAAAUAUUUACCGUGUGGCAUGGUUAUUACUCAUGACACAUACAGGUCCAUAGAGAAAAAGAGAAAUGAGGGUCAGAAAUUAAUGUCACCUGUGUGGUUUACAAAGAAAAAGAGGUGUAGGUAAAUUCAGAUGGUAGUCAUGUGCUAAAACAGAUUCAGUAAUUAUCAGUGAGACUAGGACCAUUAAAGAAAAUGCACGUGCUCUUCUUUGCACAUAUAGAGAAUGUGUUGAGAGGGUGCUGUACCACACAGCAAAGUGUUUAAUUAUGGGAGGAAAAGGUAAUGUUAUUCACCACCAUUACAGACUCUAUCCCUAUUUAAUGGAAGGUAAAAUAGAAGCAGUUGCUUUUCUGUGAGAAGCCAUUUUUCUAAUCUGAUAUUUUUAUGUUUAUAUUUUUGUCUUAUGUUUUUCUACAUGUCUUAACAUUUGUUAUUAUUCUGAGCUUUACCCACAUCUUGACUUUUAAACUUUGUCAGAGGCUGUAAUUUUUUACACCAGAAUGACAUGCCUGCAUGCCAUUAAUACUGAUCUCUAGAAAUUGGAGUGCAGGUUUAUGGCUCUCUGUGGGGCAGUGGGCUGUUCUGACAGCCUGGGUGCAGUAGAGAAGCCACCUUAGAACCUUGGACCACCCACUGAGCAGAGUAAAUUUGUUCACAAGGGAUGGUAGGUGUUCAGUGAUAGCUCCUGAGAUGAUGGCUCAGAUUUCAACCUAAACGCCCCACAGUGACCCCAGCAGGAGAGUUUUGUGAUAUUGGUCAAGCCCUCUUACAUGCAAAUAAAGAUUCUCAGCCCAAACCAAUGAGAGAUAACAGCUCACAAAAUCUGAAUGACCCCCCCAAAACUAUAUAUAUAUAUAUAUGUCAUGUCCAGGGAAGUAAAGCACAUGAAAGAUCUACUCCAUGGUCUGAGCCUUUUGUUCUAAGAGCUGUAGCACUUAGAAAGAGAUUUGCUCUCCCAAAACUCAGCCUAAAGCUGCGCCACACUCCUCACUGGCUAGUCGGCCUGUCUUCCCAGCCUGACCCGACUCAGUGCAGGGCAGUGCGGAGAAACAGAGUGGCCUGGAAGACAAGGCAGAGACAGAGCCCCGUCUGUCUGCGCUUGCUCAAUUCCCUUCGCAAGGACUCUUUCACCAAGCCAGGCCAGAGAUCUCUAUGGGAAACCUCCUGCAUUCAGGCCCACUGCUCUCCCUAUGUUUUGUUUUGUUUUUAUUUGUAAAAUAUGUACAUGGGUCUUUUGCCUAUAUGUAUGGAUGUGAGCAUGUGAAAGUCUGGUGUUUACUGAAGGCAUUUAACUCUUUAGAGGAAUUUUGUCUGAGCCCCUGUAUACUUUCUACCUUUGUGUGUGUGUGUGUGUGUGUGUGUGUGUGUGUGUGUGUGUGUGUGUAUUUCCUCAGGACAGGGUCACGUUAUGUACCUUUUGAUGUCCUGAAGAUCACUACGUAGACCAGUUUGGCCUGAAAAUCAUAAGAGAUUUACCUGUCUCUGCCUCCUGAGGCUGAGAUUAAAGGAUGCAGUUACCUAUGAGGAUGUGCAUGUGAACUUCUCUCAGGAAGAGUGGGCUUUGCUGGAUCCUUCUCAGAAGAGUCUCUACAAAGAUGUGAUGCUGGAAACCUACUGGAACCUUACUUAUAUAGGCUACAAAUGGGAAGACUGCAAUACUGAGGAUCAUCGUCAAAGUUCUGGAAGACAUGGAAGGUAAUUUUCAUGUGCAAGCUGGUACAUAGGUGUCUCUGAAGAAAUUUUAAUGUACCCUGAAAUUUUAAUGAAAAAAAAAGUUUAACCAAGCACAGCUUUGUGAGGUUUAUUAAAUUCUCAUAUACCAUAUACCUCAGUGUUAGGUAGCUGAUCAGUGUUUACAAAUUAUUCCUUUAAGAAAGAGGAAAGGACAUAAGGUGUCACAG